AUUGAACGCUGGCGGCAUGCUUUACACAUGCAAGUCGAACGGCAGCGCGGGCUUCGGCCUGGCGGCGAGUGGCGAACGGGUGAGUAAUGCAUCGGAACGUGCCCAGUAGUGGGGGAUAGCCCGGCGAAAGCCGGAUUAAUACCGCAUACGACCUGAGGGUGAAAGCGGGGGACCGAAAGGCCUCGCGCUAUUGGAGCGGCCGAUGUCGGAUUAGCCAGUUGGUGGGGUAAAGGCUUACCAAGGCGACGAUCCGUAGCUGGUCUGAGAGGACGACCAGCCACACUGGGACUGAGACACGGCCCAGACUCCUACGGGAGGCAGCAGUGGGGAAUUUUGGGCAAUGGGGGCAACCCUGAUCCAGCCAUGCCGCGUGCGGGAAGAAGGCCUUCGGGUUGUAAACCGCUUUUGUUCGGGAAGAAAUCCUCUGGGCUAAUACCCCGGGGGGAUGACGGUACCGGAAGAAUAAGCACCGGCUAACUACGUG
This 484-nucleotide ribosomal RNA is filed under the name uncultured bacterium. RNAcentral's name for it is "partial 16S ribosomal RNA". It matches the Rfam family "Bacterial small subunit ribosomal RNA", at positions 28 to 507 of the family's 1533-position model. The record is from RNAcentral.